UUCAGAAGUCUUCUUCUGGGAUGAUGCCUCUUUAGAGGAAUUUCAGUGUUACUAAAUGUCCUUGUGCUUAUACGUGGCCUCCCUCUCAGCAGCGGUGGUGGCUGUCCCCAGGAGUCAUGUCAAGUCCUUGCCCCUUGUAGGGCAUUCUUCACCCUCGAUAGUGCAGCCUCCGCCUGCGUUUCCUCCUGUCUCGGAAAUGAAAGUGAUUAAGCACCGACCGGACCAUGAGCUUGGGACUUUCUUCUUUCAAAACAAAUGACUGGCCGUGUUUCUCAGGAGGACUUGAGUUCCUAACGUCCUCUGUGUCAUCAGUCCGCCGUCUCACUGUUGGUUCAGUGACACCGCAUCAGCUCUGUCUUGGAUCCCCACUUAGUCUGAAAGGCUGUGUAGAUCUCUACACUGCCAACGUAUGGGGGGCAUCCGUUUCUGUUCCUGACUGACUGCGUACAGAAACCCAGAGAAAUGACAGGACACGAUCUGAGUUGGAAAAGCCGCAGCUUACUGCCUUCAGGAUACGCUGUUUCUCCUGCAAGAACUAAAAGAGAAUUAGCCCCGCUGCACCGUUUGCAACCGAGCACAGUAGCAGCAAGAGAGAGAGAGACAGCCAGCGAGAGAGAGAACACAAGCAAGCAGGGGGAGCGGGAGAGGAAGA
This is a long non-coding RNA of Ailuropoda melanoleuca (giant panda), 652 nucleotides long. RefSeq lists it as uncharacterized. The record is from RefSeq and is a predicted model, not a curated record. The transcript is spliced from 3 exons. NCBI's taxonomy places the organism in Eukaryota, Metazoa, Chordata, Mammalia, Carnivora, Ursidae.